This is a long non-coding RNA of Humulus lupulus (European hop), 580 nucleotides long. RefSeq lists it as uncharacterized. NCBI's taxonomy places the organism in Eukaryota, Viridiplantae, Streptophyta, Magnoliopsida, Rosales, Cannabaceae. The transcript has 3 exons. The record is from RefSeq and is a predicted model, not a curated record.
UAUAAAAUUUAAAUGCCAUUUAAUUAAGAGGUCAAGUGGGCAAGUGGGUAGAAAAGCACUCAAGUACCUUGUGAUAUUUUGAAGAGUAUUGUGAGCAAUUCCCACACUAAGAACCGAUCACUCUCCAUCUCUCAUUCACUAUCAUCUUUUUUGAAGACCUCUCAAAGUGUUCUCUCCAUUUUUCAAGCCCAAGAACACCAAGGAAACUUUGAGGCUAAGUCUUGGUCUAGGAAGUAUUUUCCCUAAGUUUGUUAGGGUUUUUGAAAGGUUUUGAAGGAGUCAAAGCUUAUAGGAAGGUCCAAACCUUAAGCAAGAACACCAAAGAGGUAAGAGCAAGGGCAAGGCAGAGCAGUGAGCGCUGGAGUCUUCCUUGCAAAUGUACAUGUGGACCGACCUUUUGGGAAGCCUUUUUAUUUUUGGAAAUGUUGUGUAAUUUUCCUAAACUAGGCUCACUCUAAUCUUUAUAAAACAUGUUUGUAACUAAAUGUUAAGUAUGGCCAUACGACUUUUUAAAAAGUUUUUUUUUUCUAUGGGUUUUUGAGACAUUUUGUUAAAUGAAAACAUUUAUAUUUCCGCAUUA